Molecule: ribosomal RNA, 569 nt
Filed under: uncultured bacterium
Lineage: Bacteria
Description: partial 16S ribosomal RNA
Rfam family: Bacterial small subunit ribosomal RNA
Source: RNAcentral
UGGGGAAUCUUCCGCAAUGGACGAAAGUCUGACGGAGCAACGCCGCGUGUAUGAUGAAGGUCUUCGGAUUGUAAAGUACUGUCAUUGGGGAAGAACGGUUUUCUUGAGAAUAUUGAGAAGACAUGACGGUACCCAAGGAGGAAGCCCCGGCUAACUACGUGCCAGCAGCCGCGGUAAUACGUAGGGGGCAAGCGUUGUCCGGAAUUAUUGGGCGUAAAGGGCGCGUAGGCGGGCCUUUAAGUCCGGUGUGAAAGAUCAGGGCUCAACCCUGAGAGUGCAUCGGAAACUGGAGGCCUUGAGGACAGGAGAGGAAAGUGGAAUUCCACGUGUAGCGGUGAAAUGCGUAGAUAUGUGGAGGAACACCAGUGGCGAAGGCGACUUUCUGGACUGUAACUGACGCUGAGGCGCGAAAGCGUGGGGAGCAAACAGGAUUAGAUACCCUGGUAGUCCACGCCGUAAACGAUGAGUGCUAGGUGUAGAGGGUAUCGACCCCUUCUGUGCCGCAGUUAACACAAUAAGCACUCCGCCUGGGGAGUACGGCCGCAAGGUUGAAACUCAAAUGAAUUGAC